AGUGAACGCUGGCGGCAGGCCUAACACAUGCAAGUCGAGCGGCAGCGGGAAAGUAGCUUGCUACUUUUGCCGGCGAGCGGCGGACGGGUGAGUAAUGCCUGGGGAUCUGCCCAGUCGAGGGGGAUAACUACUGGAAACGGUAGCUAAUACCGCAUACGCCCUACGGGGGAAAGCAGGGGACCUUCGGGCCUUGCGCGAUUGGAUGAACCCCGGUGGGAUUAGCUAGUUGGUGAGGUAACGGCUCACCAAGGCGACGAUCCCUAGCUGGUCUGGGAGGAUGAUCAGCCACACUGGAACUGAGACACGGUCCAGACUCCUACGGGAGGCAGCAGUGGGGAAUAUUGCACAAUGGGGGAAACCCUGAGGCAGCCAUGCCGCGUGUGUGAAGAAGGCCUUCGGGUUGUAAAGCACUUUCAGCGAGGAGGAAAGGUCAGUAGCUAAUAUCUGCUGGCUGUGACGUUACUCGCAGAAGAAGCACCGGCUAACUCCGUGCCAGCCGCCGCAGUAA
This 508-nucleotide ribosomal RNA is filed under the name uncultured bacterium. RNAcentral's name for it is "partial 16S ribosomal RNA". It matches the Rfam family "Bacterial small subunit ribosomal RNA", at positions 29 to 523 of the family's 1533-position model. The record is from RNAcentral.